AAUACAAAUACUGGGAUCUUUGCACAUCCCUAGUAUGCAAUGACAAGAAUCUACAUGUACAUCAUUUAUAGUGUUUGCAGAAAUACAACCGAAAACACAGAAUUUUAAGGGAAACAAACUUAAGUGUUAGUUUAUUCUACAUAUCCAAGAAAUCAGGUGUAGAAUUUGGGAACCACAGACCCAUAAAAAACGCUAGAAGCUACAGAUUUAAAGCAGUGUAUGUCUUAUAACAACAUACUCUCACUUUUUUUUCCUGUGUUGUUUGCUUGUUGCAAGUCUGACAGCGAUGCAGUAAUUAUCUUACGCUGCAUAUUUACAUCCUGCCUUAUCCUGUCAGUUCAACUGGCUUCUCUGGGUUUCAGUGAGCCAGCAUAAGUAAGUAGGUUUACCUGCAAAUAUUUGGAGUAUCGGGAGCAAAAUAGCUGGUGAAGCACUCCUUAUGUCCUCGAGGCUUGGCAGGACAUCAAACAUGUUCUUCAGUUUUCGCCAGACAUCAUGUUUGCUCCUCAAAUGCUCGCUGCUCUACUUGAGGCCGGACAUUCAAGCGAUUGUCUGAGGAGAGAAUAAAUCGUUACAGUACGUUUCUCUGCAGAGGGAAAAAUCUUCCUGGGAUUGUAUGCAUGUGUGAGUGAAGUCUCGUUUACCUUUCACUGACACCCAUUUUCUGUGUGCUGUGGACAAGCCUGCCUGUUUGGCCAUAACGAUUGGGGUGUCUGAGCAUAAUGCAAUUUGACCCGUUGCUAAUGAUGUCCUGACACUUGCUUAGCGGACCUCUACGUUUGGAUAGCUGGCAUCUAAUUGGAAGUGACAGGACAGCACCUGUAGCUUGCCCUGCACAGUGUUUACUAGGAAAAUGUUAGAGGUGACUGUGAGGGAAAGAAGACUGAAAUGAUCUGUGGUGGAUUUUCUUCUGCACUUCAUUCUUUUGCACUCACACUGCCCAGUACAGCCACAGUUCGUCACUGUCGGUUACUGAGCAGCUUGAGUAGAAUAACAAAGGGAUUAUUCACGUUUUUGUGCUGUGUGUUACUCACUAGUAGUGAUAGUCAUGCAUGGACAGCCAGUUCAUGCUCAGGGUCCAGUAGCUAAAGAUAUCCUAGUAACAAAUGUAGACAUUUAAACAGGAUUUUAAACCGCAGUAGCUCUUAGAAAGGUGUUGCUGGAGCUUGGAAGUGAAGUCAGCUGUUGACCAUGAUGCAGUGUAACCUAGAUGUCUAAAAUAAGGUUAGAUUAUUUGACAGUCACACAGUUAUCAGUGCAGUUGACCCAGCGGCCAGAGAUUGUAGUGCUGUUUUUUUUAUCUUGGAAAAACAACAAACACUAAAGCCAAUGAGGUAAACUAACUUGGCACUGAGUACACCAAAUAGAGCUAUGACUGCUAUCUGGGAAAGUCAGACUAGAAAGGCAAACUCAAGACUCAGCCACCAUGAAAACUCUGGCAGAGAUACAGAUAGGUGACAGUCAAAGGAGAGCCUAAAUAAAUGAGUGGAGAAACAUAACAAAUACAGGUGCUUAUACAAUAUAUAGGGCAUUAGGGCUUAGUGAAUGGUUCAAUAAGUAUGAAAAUGUGAGUCACAUAAUGUCACCUUAGCAGUUACCAGAUCUCAACCCAACAUAUCACCUAUGGGAGACUUUGGAGCAACAUGCUGCAUUUCAGCUGUGUUUUUCAGUCAUCCGUCACACACGCAUCUGUAGAAACAGAUACAGUUAUAUUUUAAUCAAUACAGCUGUCUACACAGGUCUCAAUAUGUAACCCAAAGUAUCUUUUUAGGCUUGAAGUCCAUUUUCUUCCCUUUUAGGCACCUACAGUGAUUUUAUAUUGGGCCAAAACACAGUUGACCACACAGUACUGUAGCUGAACACCUCAUGGGCAGAGGACUGGAGCUCUUCUAGAGACUUGUAGUGGGUCAACACCUUACUAAGACAUUUUAUGUUGUUGUUUUUUCCUUUCAUUUGUCACCCAUCCGUAUCUGUGUGUGUACAGGCUCAGUGAAAGGUUACCAUCCAACCCAGUGUGACAUUAUUUCACUGCCGUUGCUGAUACAGUUUGGCCUCUGAACUGCUGAUUGGGCGCUCAAAAAGCCAUGAAGCAUAGUCAUCACCUUUAGGAUGUGAUUUUUGGAUCAGUUUCAGUUCCUCAGUGUUUCAGACCUGCAAGUCAAUGUGUUUUGACACUGAGGUCAAAGUUCAUGUGGAGAGGUGCUUUCAGAAGCAGAUUUAUAGCUGAGGUUUCUGGAUUUUGUAAGCCAAAAACAACUAAACUAUGGUGAUAUCUGUGACAAGCCCUUUCCUGUGAUUGUUUAAUCUUUUUUAAGUUACAAAAUAUUGUGUUCUGUCUUCCAAAUGCUCUCAAACUUUUUUAAAGUAUUCUGUUUUUAAGAGCUUGUCACCGGACAAAUUUCUGCCCUGUUCAAUAAAUUAAUCUGGUUUUAAAUUUUGAAGGUUUAGAGCAGACAGGGCAACCGGAGCAGGAUUCAUUUAAAUAAAACAAAGGAAUGAGAAAACUAGCAGAGGGGUGAAAGGCAAAUCUGUGUGAGAAAAUGAAGCAGCAAACUCUUCACUUAAAGUCAGGCGGACAGUUUUACUUGAUCAAUAACAGCAGCGAAGCAGCUGAAGGUUGUUCCAACACAUUUGUCCAUCAGUGCAGACGACAGCACCUUUAAACUUUUCUAUUUCUGGAAGCUUCCAUCUCUGCUGCAGCCAGCUCCAUAAAAUGAACACCAUUUUUUCUCACUCUCUUUAUCACCCCUGCCCAGGCAUCUCAAGGAGUUAAGAAGGAAAAGAAAAGACUCCAUAUUUUUUCUUAUCCUCAUUAGGCGCUCGCAUAGAGCCCCCUUUUUUUCUUGCGGCCAUCCCGCUUGCCUUUGUCUCUUAAAUCUUUCUCCAGGCCAGGCAGCAGGAGUUGUGAUGGAGCUGGUGCCAUACAGGGUGUGAUCUUCUCCGGCGAUACUGAUGCUCUGAAAAAGAAAGCAUAUGAAUCACCUGGAGAGGUACAAAAACCUCACUUCACCUGCUGUGAAAAGGAGAUCAAUGUCAGAGGAAGGCCCUUCACCGAAGCAACUUAAAUUCUGGGAAACUAAGAGAGUGUCACAGAAAAGUGUUGAUGAUGCCAUCAUUAACUUUGUCAUUCAAGAUAUGCAUCCCCUCAGUAUUGUCAAACAGGAGGGUUUUUAUGCAUCACCUACAACUAGAUGUGGUUGUAAUGUCUCAUGGUACAGUUAAAAACAAAGUUGAGAAAGCAACACUGGCAAUGAAGAAUAAUCUAAAGGCUGCCAUGAUUGCUGGACAGCACACAGAUGGUGUUUCAUUGGUGUCACAGCACAUUGGAUAGAGCCUGAAACUCUGGAGAGACGCUCUGCUGCUCUAGCAUGCAAAUAACUCAAAGGAUCUCAUACCUUUUCUGCACUAGCUGGUGCCAUGAAUGACAUUCAUGCAGAGUACAACAUCCGUGAGAAGACUGUACACACAGUGUAAUGGCUCAAAUUUUAUAAAAGCAUUUCCAGUCUAUGGUGAGAUGGAUGAAAACAAUGAUACAGAAACACUUGAGGGGGCCAAGUCAAACAGGAGAAGGAGAUAACAGUGAAGAAGAGGAAGAGGGGGGAAAACAUUGUGGGCGUUGAGUUUGUUGACGCUUGAACCAUGUUGGAUGAGGAUGAUGGCCUGGAAUACUAACUGCCAAAGCACCAUCACUGUGCCUGCCACCUUCUAAACCUGGUGUCAACAGUUGAUGUCUUAGAAGCAACUGCCAAUACAGUCUAUAAGAGGCUCUCGCUUUCAGUGUUUUCAAAGUGCUGGACUCUCUGAAACAAGAGCGGCAGAUCCACCACAGCUGUAGGGAUAAUCAAAGAAAAAGGCAAACUCCAGCUCUUGAGGCCAAAUGAGACAAGGUGGAAUAAUCAUUUCCUGGCUGUGGAGAGUAUUGUAAGGAUCAUGAGAGAACAAAGAGAAGGAGCCAUUAUAACUAUGUGCAGUGCGCUAAAAAUUCCCAUGUUCACUCCUGCUGAGAUUGUGUUUCUCACAGAAUAUGUGAAGAAUAUGUGAAGCAUUUGCAAAGGCGGUCGAUGUUCUUCAGGGAGAGACAAGUGUGCAGAUGGGAUCACUGGUACCUACUGUAACACUACUCAAGGCUAAGCUCCAGCACCCUCACAUUUCAUCCAUGUUCUGUGGGCCUUUGGUGGAUGCUCUUCAAGCAGGAUUUGAAAGGUGUUUUGGACAGAUGGUUACUGAUCCAGAACUUAUUGCUGCUGCCAUUCUUGUCCCCAAGUUCAGGACAUGUUGGCCAUGUGGCGAAGGCAUCUGAAAACUUGGUAUUAAAUCAAAAGCCGUCUGAAGGAGCAACCCAUGGUGCAUCCAGUCGACACUUCCCAUUCUUCAGAGGAGGACUUCUUUCUGCCCAUCAAGUAGUGCAAUGCUCAAGAAAACACCAAGCAGCUUGAGUUCUACCUGGUCUGGCCAGCUGAUACCAUGGAUGUCCUGAAAUCUUUCCCCAGCAGUGUGCAAAUUUGUCUCUCAAGCUCAACACACUUCUACCUGCCUCAGCUGCGUGUUAGAGGCUUUUUAGCACUGUAGGACUGAUUUUUAGACCCAAAGGGCACACCUUGAUUCAAAGAACUGUGAGAACCAGCUUCUGCUGAGGUUGAACAAAAGGUUUUUGUAGUCAUGUAGGGAUGAGAGAAUUUUUAACAAAAGAGUUUAAGGCUUAAUUAGACCUUAAGAGUGUUCUCAUGUUCAUGUUUCGAGUUCUGCUGCUGACAUUGAAAACUGUGAAUGGUGAACAGUACAUGUAGAAAGUAUAAGCGGGGAAAAAAAGGUUCAUUCUUGGUUUCAGGGGGGCCGGUUGACCCCCAAACCUGCCUUGUAAAAAGCUGUCAGCCACAGAAAAGGUUACAGGUUACAGAGAAGUGAGAGAAGUGACCAUCAUCAGGAGUCUGAUUUGUACUAAAUGUUUAUCCAGCUGCUGAAUGAGGGAAUUUAUCUUUAGGUGAAAAGUGUUUUAUUUUCUAAUCCUGAUUAUAGUUGAAAUUUCUUUUUUUUUUUUGACAUAUGUUUUUUGGAGCAAAGUUAAUGUUCAUUAUUUUAAGUAUAUUGUUUUUUAUUUUAUUUCAAGUUAGAAUGAUUUAACUUUAACAGUAUUCAAAUUAUAUUAAUAUGACAUGAGGUUCAAUUAGCUUUGCACAGAAACAGCCUGUAGAAAUGUCCUUCAGACAGCCACUUUUAUACUUUUGAAUACAUGUCAGAGAAUGUGUAUACUUUUGCCACCUCUGUCUCUAUCAUUUAACUUAGUACUCUUAAAAAUUAAAAAAUUACAAUUAUCCAUACAGAAAAAUGUCAAAACCUGACAAUUUUAGCUUAAUGCUCAAGUCAACAUGUCAGCUUUGUUUAUGUGGCUUACUAUUUACAAUGACAUUGACUGAAGAGAUUGGCUACAAAUCAGAAGUGAAAGGUCAAGGUGUCAUUGUUCCUAAGUGGCACCAUGUAGAUUGUAUUGUAUCUUCCUUUUGUUGUGUUUGUUCUGUUUUCAUAUGACCGUUGGCCUUGUGAAAUAAAUCUUUUGGACGUUCCAUUGAUUGAUAGGAAAGCAGCCUGUUGAGAUGCGAUUAACUGUGUAUAACACAUCAGAUACAGGCUGUUUGCCCGCAGAGUCCUCAUGUUGUGUUGAGUGUCGUUGUCAAUACUGUGGAUUAAUGCAUGGAGAUAAUCAGUAUGUGUGAGUGUGUGUGAGCUGAGGAGUCGUUCUCUUUUCUAUUACAGCCUAUGGUGUGGAUGGUACCCAUCCAUCAGUUCAAAGAGCAGAAUAACCAAGAGUGACAUUCAAUUACGGUAUGCUAAUUUGUGUUCUUUAUAUAUUUAUUUGUGCUUCACCAUUCAUUUACUUAAUUAACAAUUUUGGACGUGAGCUAUCAUGAGCAGAUUGCAAUAUUCUUUCCAAUAACGGGCCAUAAUGAAAUAUAUUAUUAGCAAUAAAGUUAAUGGAACAAGCGAAGUGAGACUCCUCAUCACCAUUGGAUGGAUGGCAAAUUAAGGAUAAUAAAGGGAACAAACAAAGAACACAGACUUUGGAAAAUAGCUCCUGUAAAUUAUUGUUAAAGAUUUCUCUCAAACAUCUAUAGGAUGUGCACUGUGAUCUACACUUGCGUUGUAUCAUUGUGACACACAAUGGCACCUACAUUGUCCACCUGUCACUGGAAGGCCUAAAGAGAACCUUUUCCCUGGGUGGUUAUUGCAUAUUGGACCUUGUUCUCAAUUAAAAUAUAAUUAAAGGGCUAAAAGAGAGGGCUGGAUGUUUUGACAGGUCCAAUAGAACUCAAGACGCUUGAAGUUAAUUAAAAAUAUUUAGCUGCACUGUUCAAUGUCUGCCAUUCACUUGGAAAUUUUCACUUAAGGCUUGAUUGUUAUUGUCACUAGCUCCAUUUUACAGCAAUUUAUCUAAUUUUAUAAAAGAACAUCUUCCAAAAGAAAUAUUUCUUUGUUUUGAUGAACAUGGAGCUGAAUCAUGAUGACAUAAAAUAUAGGAUCCACCUGAAACCUGAAAUGGGUAUGUAAAUGAUGGCAGGAUGUUUAGCAGUUUUCAACCCAUACGACAACCCAGACUUUAUAUUUAAAUAUGAUGGCAAAGUGAAACUUAAUAUAUAAGUCUUGUGACUGUUUGAUCAUUGUGAGUCUUACCAUGUAACCUUUAACUGAGAUAACUUUAGCCUGAUUACAUAGUAAGGUACAAUCAAUGUAACAGAAGGGUUUGUUGAAUAUGUAUGUUGGUCUUUAGGGGUAUGAACAGAAAAUUUGCUAACUGUUAAGUGUUUAGAAAGGCCAAGGCUGAAAUGAUGUGUUAGAGGGUAGCAAGAUUGCCACAAUACCUUAGAGGGGAACAAAACCAGAUAAGGAUGUUUACUGGAGGAAGCAGUCUUGACAAGAGGGAAGAGUUGUACGGUGUGCAUACCACAAACUAACUUUGUGCUGUGUACCAUGC
This is a long non-coding RNA of Thunnus maccoyii (southern bluefin tuna), 6967 nucleotides long. RefSeq lists it as uncharacterized. The record is from RefSeq and is a predicted model, not a curated record. Lineage: Eukaryota; Metazoa; Chordata; Actinopteri; Scombriformes; Scombridae. The transcript is spliced from 4 exons.